AGCUAAUACCGCAUAACGUCGCAAGACCAAAGAGGGGGACCUUCGGGCCUCUUGCCAUCGGAUGUGCCCAGAUGGGAUUAGCUAGUAGGUGGGGUAACGGCUCACCUAGGCGACGAUCCCUAGCUGGUCUGAGAGGAUGACCAGCCACACUGGAACUGAGACACGGUCCAGACUCCUACGGGAGGCAGCAGUGGGGAAUAUUGCACAAUGGGCGCAAGCCUGAUGCAGCCAUGCCGCGUGUAUGAAGAAGGCCUUCGGGUUGUAAAGUACUUUCAGCGGGGAGGAAGGGAGUAAAGUUAAUACCUUUGCUCAUUGACGUUACCCGCAGAAGAAGCACCGGCUAACUCCGUGCCAGCAGCCGCGGUAAUACGGAGGGUGCAAGCGUUAAUCGG
Molecule: ribosomal RNA, 392 nt
Filed under: Escherichia coli
Lineage: Bacteria; Pseudomonadati; Pseudomonadota; Gammaproteobacteria; Enterobacterales; Enterobacteriaceae
Description: bacterial SSU rRNA
Rfam family: Bacterial small subunit ribosomal RNA
Source: RNAcentral